Molecule: long non-coding RNA, 236 nt
Filed under: Mustela putorius furo (domestic ferret)
Lineage: Eukaryota; Metazoa; Chordata; Mammalia; Carnivora; Mustelidae
Description: lncRNA (ENSMPUG00000031326.1)
Source: RNAcentral
CUUUCCUGAGGGUGUAUCAUAUUCCAGAAGAUACUCAACCCAAAUUCGUCUCGGCCACAUGUUUGACGAAAAUCAGAAGCCUCCUCAUUUGCGGGGCGGUCACAGCCCCUGCUGACACAGGACCUGGGCUGGAGCCAACAGGUGAGUGGCUUCACGUCGUCUGAUUUCAGUCCCGACAAAGAAAGACGUAUUGACGGAGGCUUUAUUGGAGUCACCACUGAUCCACCCUUGUCCCC